RNAcentral lists this ribosomal RNA (301 nucleotides) under uncultured bacterium. RNAcentral describes it as "partial 16S ribosomal RNA". It matches the Rfam family "Bacterial small subunit ribosomal RNA", at positions 509 to 807 of the family's 1533-position model. The record is from RNAcentral.
CAGUCGCCGCGGGAAUACGAAGGGGGCUAGCGUUGUUCGGAUUUACUGGGCGUAAAGGGCGCGUAGGCGGGCGAAUAAGUCAGGGGUGAAAUCCCAAGGCUCAACCUUGGAACUGCCUUUGAUACUGUUUGUCUUGAGUUCGAGAGAGGUAAGUGGAACUGCGAGUGUAGAGGUGAAAUUCGUAGAUAUUCGCAAGAACACCAGUGGCGAAGGCGGCUUACUGGCUCGAAACUGACGCUGAGGCACGAAAGCGUGGGGAUCAAACAGGAUUAGAUACCCCGGUAGUCCAUGUCUCUUAUAC